UAAGAUUUGUUGAACAAGAGAGUACUUGUAUCAUUCUUGGCUAGCGAAUUCGGAAGUGGUGGAAGCCGAAUGAAGAAGAUACAACGAAGCGCACUUGGAGAAUUCUGUUUUAAACAGACGGUCGUCUACCGAUAUCAGAUGGAGCUGGUCCUUUUUUAGGACAAUUGGAGUGGUACCGCGGGAAAUCUCGUCUCUAGU
RNAcentral lists this non-coding RNA (198 nucleotides) under Enterococcus faecium. RNAcentral describes it as "T-box". It matches the Rfam family "T-box leader". From Rfam's summary of the family: Uncharged tRNA acts as the effector for transcription antitermination of genes in the T-box leader family. T-boxes are found upstream of many aminoacyl-tRNA synthetase genes and some amino acid biosynthetic genes usually in Gram-positive bacteria. The anticodon of a specific tRNA base pairs to a specifier sequence within the T-box motif, and the NCCA acceptor tail of the tRNA base pairs to a conserved bulge in the T-box antiterminator hairpin. The record is from RNAcentral. Lineage: Bacteria; Bacillati; Bacillota; Bacilli; Lactobacillales; Enterococcaceae.